GACGAACGCUGGCGGCGUGCUUAACACAUGCAAGUCGAACGGCAAGGCCCUGCUUUUGUGGGGUGCUCGAGUGGCGAACGGGUGAGUAACACGUGAGUAACCUGCCCUGGACUUUGGGAUAACUUCAGGAAACUGGGGCUAAUACCGGAUAGGAGCUCCUGCUGCAUGGUGGGGGUUGGAAAGUUUCGGCGGUUGGGGAUGGACUGGCGGCUUAUCAGCUUGUUGGUGGGGUAGUGGCUUACCAAGGCUUUGACGGAUAGCCGGCCUGGGCGGGUGACCGGCCACAUGGGGACUGAGAGACGGCCCAGACUCCUACGGGAGGCAGCAGUGGGGAAUAUUGCACAAUGGGCGGAAGCCUGAUGCAGCAACGCCGCGUGCGGGAUGACGGCCUUCGGGUUGUAAACCGCUUUCGCCUGUGACGAAGCGUGAGUGACGGUAAUGGGUAAAGAAGCACCGGCUAACUACGUG
Molecule: ribosomal RNA, 468 nt
Filed under: uncultured bacterium
Lineage: Bacteria
Description: partial 16S ribosomal RNA
Rfam family: Bacterial small subunit ribosomal RNA
Source: RNAcentral